AACUCAGAGCCAUAUAGAGUGAGAGUUGCGACAACUCCAUUGACUCCAAUGGAACGCUUUUUUUACAGCAAUGGCGGCUCGUGGAGCCUCUCAAUAGUUCCCGGAAGUAGCAGCAAACCUAUGCCGCGCCAUAGAGAUGCAGCAGAACAAACCGUUUGCGACGCACUUUUAACAGACCCAGGUAACUGGCUGAUGGUUCACAGGAAUGCUGACUGGCUGCUGACUGACUUGCUGCUGGUUGACUGGGCAGUGUCACCUGUCCCUGUCUCUCCUCUCUAGCCAUGUCCUUUUUCUUCACUCUCACUUUACCUUCUCUGAGUGUCCUCGUUCUUUUUUCCUCAACCUUUGAAACUGAUAGAGGUCUAGGGGUGCAUCGUGGAGCAGGGCCCUCCUCUUUUUGACCACAGGACGAUGUACAAAGAUUGUGGGAAUAGCAUCUGGUCUCAGCCUACUCUUGAAUUUUUUGGUCAUGACAAAUUGCUUUGCCGCAAUUUGUCUGCAUACUGACUUCAGUUUAGUUUCCACACACACCUUUUUUUUUGUCUACCCACAUACAGUACAUAUCACAUGGUGGUUAAAUGCACAGUUAUAGGUAACACUGAUGACUCCCUGCAAUGUCUCACCAUGAGUCUCAGCUCCCUGGGUUUUGCAAGGCUUUGCUUGUUCCUUAUUUCUAGUAAAACAUUGUCAAUGUAAAAAAGUGCAAAUAAAUCGGGGAAGCCAUACAUUCGCACACCUUUCUCUGACUGAGUGGAGCAUCCCCAUGCAGCACAGUAAACCAUGGUGGAGACUAUGCAAGGACAACAUUAAAGAAAGGACACAUACAAAAUGCUUGUCAUGCUAUUAAAUUUAUUAGAAAUGUAUUCAUGAAUUGCUGUAAAUAGUUAAUUGUAUAAUUACAACUUAAAAUAACUGUUUUCUGUUUUAAAAUGGAAUAUACUCCUGUGAUGCCAA
Molecule: long non-coding RNA, 954 nt
Organism: Carassius gibelio (silver crucian carp)
Lineage: Eukaryota; Metazoa; Chordata; Actinopteri; Cypriniformes; Cyprinidae
Exons: 4
Source: RefSeq, a predicted model, not a curated record